This is a transfer RNA of 85 nucleotides. It matches the Rfam family "tRNA". From Rfam's summary of the family: Transfer RNA (tRNA) molecules are approximately 80 nucleotides in length. Their secondary structure includes four short double-helical elements and three loops (D, anti-codon, and T loops). The record is from Rfam.
GCGGGGAUCGCCAAGCCAGGUCAAAGGCGCAGGAUUCAGGGUCCUGUCUCGCAGGAGUUCGAGGGUUCGAAUCCCUCUCCCCGCA